RNAcentral lists this transfer RNA (73 nucleotides) under Camelus bactrianus (Bactrian camel). It matches the Rfam family "tRNA". From Rfam's summary of the family: Transfer RNA (tRNA) molecules are approximately 80 nucleotides in length. Their secondary structure includes four short double-helical elements and three loops (D, anti-codon, and T loops). RNAcentral also lists the same sequence under 2 other names. The record is from Rfam by way of RNAcentral. Lineage: Eukaryota; Metazoa; Chordata; Mammalia; Artiodactyla; Camelidae.
GAGGAUAUCGCUCAAGCGGUAGAGUGCAUGCUUAGUGUGCACAAGGUCAUGGGUUCAAUCCCCAGUACCCUCU